UGGGGGAUCGUCUAAUGGUAGGACGCUGCGCUCUGGACGCAGUAAUCAUGGUUCGAAUCCAUGUCCCCCAG
RNAcentral lists this transfer RNA (71 nucleotides) under Candidatus Veblenbacteria bacterium RIFOXYA2_FULL_43_9. Its description in RNAcentral is "tRNA-Gln". It matches the Rfam family "tRNA". From Rfam's summary of the family: Transfer RNA (tRNA) molecules are approximately 80 nucleotides in length. Their secondary structure includes four short double-helical elements and three loops (D, anti-codon, and T loops). Further hydrogen bonds mediate the characteristic L-shaped molecular structure. tRNAs have two regions of fundamental functional importance: the anti-codon, which is responsible for specific mRNA codon recognition, and the 3' end, to which the tRNAs corresponding amino acid is attached (by aminoacyl-tRNA synthetases). tRNAs cope with the degeneracy of the genetic code in two manners: having more than one tRNA (with a specific anti-codon) for a particular amino acid; and 'wobble' base-pairing, i.e. permitting non-standard base-pairing at the 3rd anti-codon position. The record is from RNAcentral. RNAcentral also lists the same sequence under 2 other names. Lineage: Bacteria; Candidatus Vebleniibacteriota.